AGCAGUAGCCGCGGGAAUGCGUAGGGUGCGAGCGUUAAUCGGAAUUACUGGGCGUAAAGCGUGCGCAGGCGGUUGUGUAAGACAGGUGUGAAAUCCCCGGGCUUAACCUGGGAAUGGCAGUGGAUACUGGCUCGCUAGAGUGUGUCAGAGGAUGGUGGAAUUCCCGGUGUAGCGGUGAAAUGCGUAGAGAUCGGGAGGAACAUCAGUGGCGAAGGCGGCCAUCUGGGACAACACUGACGCUGAGGCACGAAAGCGUGGGGAGCAAACAGGAUUAGAUACCCCUGUAGUCCCUGUCUCUUAUAC
This 303-nucleotide ribosomal RNA is filed under the name uncultured bacterium. Its description in RNAcentral is "partial 16S ribosomal RNA". It matches the Rfam family "Bacterial small subunit ribosomal RNA", at positions 507 to 807 of the family's 1533-position model. The record is from RNAcentral.